RNAcentral lists this transfer RNA (24 nucleotides) under Tockus rufirostris (Southern red-billed hornbill). RNAcentral describes it as "partial tRNA-Glu". Lineage: Eukaryota; Metazoa; Chordata; Aves; Bucerotiformes; Bucerotidae. The record is from RNAcentral.
UUAAUGAAUCUUAACUACAAGAAC